AACGGCCGUACCAUGCUGAAUAUACCGGUUCUCGUUAGAUCACCGAAGUCAAGCAUCAUUGGGCGUGGUCAGUACUUGGGUGGGGGACCACCUGGGAGCACAGCGUGCCGUU
Molecule: ribosomal RNA, 112 nt
Filed under: Caerostris darwini
Lineage: Eukaryota; Metazoa; Arthropoda; Arachnida; Araneae; Araneidae
Source: RNAcentral